Molecule: ribosomal RNA, 234 nt
Filed under: uncultured bacterium
Lineage: Bacteria
Description: partial 16S ribosomal RNA
Rfam family: Bacterial small subunit ribosomal RNA
Source: RNAcentral
CGGACGGGUGAGUAACGCGUGGGUAACCUGCCUCAUACAGGGGGAUAACAGUUAGAAAUGACUGCUAAUACCGCAUAAGACCACAGCACCGCAUGGUGCAGGGGCAAAAACUCCGGUGGUAUGAGAUGGACCCGCGUCUGAUUAGGUAGUUGGUGGGUAACGGCCUACCAAGCCGACGAUCAGUAGCCGACCUGAGAGGGUGACCGGCCACAUUGGGACUGAGACACGGCCCAA